Molecule: transfer RNA, 71 nt
Filed under: Ictidomys tridecemlineatus (thirteen-lined ground squirrel)
Lineage: Eukaryota; Metazoa; Chordata; Mammalia; Rodentia; Sciuridae
Description: Spermophilus tridecemlineatus (thirteen-lined ground squirrel) tRNA
Rfam family: tRNA
About the family: Transfer RNA (tRNA) molecules are approximately 80 nucleotides in length. Their secondary structure includes four short double-helical elements and three loops (D, anti-codon, and T loops). Further hydrogen bonds mediate the characteristic L-shaped molecular structure. tRNAs have two regions of fundamental functional importance: the anti-codon, which is responsible for specific mRNA codon recognition, and the 3' end, to which the tRNAs corresponding amino acid is attached (by aminoacyl-tRNA synthetases). tRNAs cope with the degeneracy of the genetic code in two manners: having more than one tRNA (with a specific anti-codon) for a particular amino acid; and 'wobble' base-pairing, i.e. permitting non-standard base-pairing at the 3rd anti-codon position.
Source: Rfam by way of RNAcentral
GAGGUUGUGGCUCAGUGGUAGAGCACUUGCCUAGCGUGUGUGAGGCACUGGGUUCAAUCCCUGCCACCACA